Molecule: ribosomal RNA, 254 nt
Filed under: uncultured bacterium
Lineage: Bacteria
Description: partial 16S ribosomal RNA
Rfam family: Bacterial small subunit ribosomal RNA
Source: RNAcentral
UACGUAGGCAGCAAGCGUUGUUCGGAAUUACUGGGCGUAAAGGAGUGUGUAGGCGGUGCUCCAAGUCUGGUGUGAAAUCUCCCGGCUUAACUGGGAGGGUGCAUUAGAAACUGGAAUGCUAGAGGAUGGGAGAGGUAAGCGGAAUUCCUGGUGUAGCGGUGAAAUGCGUAGAUAUCAGGAGGAACACCUGUGGUGUAGACAGCUUACUGGACCAUUUCUGACGCUGAGACACGAAAGCGUGGGUAGCAAACAGG